AAAUUGAAGAGUUUGAUCAUGGCUCAGAUUGAACGCUGGCGGCAGGCCUAACACAUGCAAGUCGAACGGUAACAGGAAGCAGCUUGCUGCUUCGCUGACGAGUGGCGGACGGGUGAGUAAUGUCUGGGAAACUGCCUGAUGGAGGGGGAUAACUACUGGAAACGGUGGCUAAUACCGCAUAACGUCGCAAGACCAAAGAGGGGGACCUUCGGGCCUCUUGCCAUCAGAUGUGCCCAGAUGGGAUUAGCUUGUUGGUGAGGUAACGGCUCACCAAGGCG
Molecule: ribosomal RNA, 278 nt
Filed under: Salmonella enterica
Lineage: Bacteria; Pseudomonadati; Pseudomonadota; Gammaproteobacteria; Enterobacterales; Enterobacteriaceae
Also listed under: 4 other names
Description: partial 16S ribosomal RNA
Rfam family: Bacterial small subunit ribosomal RNA
Source: RNAcentral